RNAcentral lists this ribosomal RNA (253 nucleotides) under uncultured bacterium. RNAcentral describes it as "partial 16S ribosomal RNA". It matches the Rfam family "Bacterial small subunit ribosomal RNA", at positions 524 to 776 of the family's 1533-position model. The record is from RNAcentral.
UACGUAGGGUGCGAGCGUUAAUCGGAAUUACUGGGCGUAAAGCGUGCGCAGGCGGCUUUGCAAGACAGAUGUGAAAUCCCCGGGCUUAACCUGGGAAUGGCGCUUGUGACUGCAAAGCUGGAGUGCGGCAGAGGGGGAUGGAAUUCCGCGUGUAGCAGUGAAAUGCGUAGAUAUGCGGAGGAACACCGAUGGCGAAGGCAAUCCCCUGGGCCUGCACUGACGCUCAUGCACGAAAGCGUGGGGAGCAAACAGG